GACGAACGCUGGCGGCGUGCUUAACACAUGCAAGUCGAACGGAAAGGCCCUGCUUUUGUGGGGUGCUCGAGUGGCGAACGGGUGAGUAACACGUGAGUAACCUGCCCUUGACUUUGGGAUAACUUCAGGAAACUGGGGCUAAUACCGGAUAGGAGCUCCUGCUGCAUGGUGGGGGUUGGAAAGUUUCGGCGGUUGGGGAUGGACUCGCGGCUUAUCAGCUUGUUGGUGGGGUAGUGGCUUACCAAGGCUUUGACGGGUAGCCGGCCUGAGAGGGUGACCGGCCACAUUGGGACUGAGAUACGGCCCAGACUCCUACGGGAGGCAGCAGGGGGGAAUAUGGCACAAUGGGCGGAAGCCUGAUGCAGCAACGCCGGGUGCGGGAUGACGGCCUUCGGGUGGUAAACCGCUUUCGCAUGUGACGAAGCGUGAGUGACGGUAAUGGGUAAAGAAGCACCGGCUAACUACGUG
RNAcentral lists this ribosomal RNA (468 nucleotides) under uncultured bacterium. RNAcentral describes it as "partial 16S ribosomal RNA". It matches the Rfam family "Bacterial small subunit ribosomal RNA", at positions 28 to 507 of the family's 1533-position model. The record is from RNAcentral.